RNAcentral lists this ribosomal RNA (501 nucleotides) under uncultured bacterium. RNAcentral's name for it is "partial 16S ribosomal RNA". It matches the Rfam family "Bacterial small subunit ribosomal RNA", at positions 30 to 523 of the family's 1533-position model. The record is from RNAcentral.
AUUGAACGCUGGCGGCAGGCUUAACACAUGCAAGUCGAGCGGGGGAAGGUAGCUUGCUACUGGACCUAGCGGCGGAGGGGUGAGUAAUGCUUAGGAAUCUGCCUAUUAGGGGGGGACAACAUCUCGAAAGGGAUGCUAAUACCGCAUACGCCUUAUGGGAGAAACCAGGGGAUCUUCGGACCUUGCGCUAAUAGAUGAGCCUAAGUCGGAUUAGCUAGUUGGUGGGGUAAGGGCCUACCAAGGCGACGAUCUGUAGCGGGUCUGAGAGGAUGAUCCGCCACACUGGGACUGAGACACGGCCCAGACUCCUACGGGAGGCAGCAGUGGGGAAUAUUGGACAAUGGGGGGAACCCUGAUCCAGCCAUGCCGCGUGUGUGAAGAAGGCCUUAUGGUUGUAAAGCACUUUAAGCGAGGAGGAGGCUACUUUAGUUAAUACCUAGAGAUAGUGGACGUUACUCGCAGAAUAAGCACCGGCUAACUCUGUGCCAGCAGCCGCAGUAA